AAGUCGUAACAAGGUAACCGUAGGUGAACCUGCGGUUGGAUCAUUAAAAAAUGUGUUUUGAUGGAGUGGCCCUGAGCAACGUAGUGGUUCCCCGUUAAAGAUUUUUUUUUAAAAUUUCUACUGGGAGCGCUCAACAGCUUUUGUUCACUCUAAUCAUCAACCCACACUGUGAACCGUUUUUGUAUUUUUGGAUGCUUGUUUUGAGGUGGGACCUCUUGUAAUAGAUUGACCUAAUCCGUUGAUCUUCCAUCCAGCAGGCCUUUACUGGCCCCCGUAAACAUUUUGUAAUCAAUUCUGGUCUUAAAAAUUCUUUUUUUAUUAAUUUAAAAAAAAACCAAAACAACUUUUGACAACGGAUCUCUAGGCUCUC
RNAcentral lists this unclassified non-coding RNA (370 nucleotides) under fungal sp. Its description in RNAcentral is "partial internal transcribed spacer region". The stretch from base 1 to 46 matches the Rfam family "Eukaryotic small subunit ribosomal RNA", at positions 1786 to 1831 of the family's 1831-position model. The record is from RNAcentral. Lineage: Eukaryota; Fungi.